This 253-nucleotide ribosomal RNA is filed under the name uncultured bacterium. Its description in RNAcentral is "partial 16S ribosomal RNA". It matches the Rfam family "Bacterial small subunit ribosomal RNA", at positions 524 to 776 of the family's 1533-position model. The record is from RNAcentral.
UACAGAGGCCUCGAGCGUUAGGCGGAAUCACGGGGCUUAAAGCGUGUGUAGGUGGAGUUCUAAGUACCUUGUGAAAUCCCACGGCUCAACCGUGGAACUGCUGGGUAUACUGGUUCUCUUGAGGUACCUAGGGGCGAGCGGAACAAGUGGUGGAGCGGUGAAAUGCGUAGAUAUCACUUGGAACGCCAACGGUGAAAACAGCUCGCUGGGGGUAUCCUGACACUGAGACACGAAAGCCAGGGGAGCAAACGGG